AUUUGAAGAAAAGAUCCAGAUCAGUCAAGAAGAUGGUCUUCAUGCAAACUAGCAUUCUCGAGAAGAUCGAUCAGAUCGAAGCUUCGAGUGGACCUUCCGUAGAGAUCGGACAUGUGUACGACUGUGAGCAACCUAUGAAGAUCAUAUUUAUCAUGUCUCUCAACAGUGACGAUCAUCAAUCCACACUCAAGUAUUGAGUUCUAAACUCAGAUUAGUUAUAGAUUUGAUCUACUGCUUACAUCCAUGCAUGC
This 251-nucleotide long non-coding RNA is filed under the name Elaeis guineensis (African oil palm). Its description in RNAcentral is "long non-coding RNA (EGUI_LNC053934)". Lineage: Eukaryota; Viridiplantae; Streptophyta; Magnoliopsida; Arecales; Arecaceae. The record is from RNAcentral.